GGGCGAAAGCCUGACGCAGCGACACCGCGUGAGGGACGAAGGCCCUCGGGUGUAAACCUCUUUCGGCAGGGACGAAGCGAUCGUGACGGUACCUGCAGAAGAAGCUCCGGCUAACUACGUGCCAGCAGCCGCGGUAAGACGUAGGGAGCGAGUGUUGUCCGGAUUCAUUGGGCGUAAAGAGCGCGCAGGCGGCUUGGUAAGUCGGAUGUGAAAACCCGGAGCUCAACUCCGGGCGUGCAUCCGAAACUGCCCGGCUAGAGGUAAGUAGGGGAGGUCGGAAUUCCUGGUGUAGCGGUGGAAUGCGCAGAUAUCAGGAGGAACACCGGUGGCGAAGGCGGAUCUCUGGGCCUUACCUGACGCUCAGGCGCGAAAGCUAGGGGAGCGAACAGGAUUAGAUACCCUGGUAGUCCUAGCUGUAAACGUUGGGUGCUAGGUGUGGGUGGACAUCGACCCCAUCCGUGCCGAAGCUAACGCAUUAAGCACCCCGCCUGGGGAGUACGGCCGCAAGGCUA
RNAcentral lists this ribosomal RNA (512 nucleotides) under uncultured Actinomycetes bacterium. Its description in RNAcentral is "bacterial SSU rRNA". It matches the Rfam family "Bacterial small subunit ribosomal RNA", at positions 373 to 896 of the family's 1533-position model. The record is from RNAcentral. Lineage: Bacteria; Bacillati; Actinomycetota; Actinomycetes.